RNAcentral lists this ribosomal RNA (253 nucleotides) under uncultured bacterium. RNAcentral's name for it is "partial 16S ribosomal RNA". It matches the Rfam family "Bacterial small subunit ribosomal RNA", at positions 524 to 776 of the family's 1533-position model. The record is from RNAcentral.
GCCAGAGGUGCCAAGCGUUAGGCGGAAUCACUGGGCUUAAAGCGUGUGUAGGCGGAUCGUUAAGUACCUUGUGAAAUCCCACGGCUCAACCGUGGAACUGCUGGGUAUACUGGCGAUCUUGAGCCACCUAGGGGCGAGCGGAACAAGCGGUGGAGCGGUGAAAUGCGUAGAUAUCGCUUGGAACGCCAAUGGUGAAAACAGCUCGCUGGGGGUGUGCUGACGCUGAGACACGAAAGCCAGGGGAGCGAACGGG